GUGUUUUGCUUUCAUGGAGAUGGAUGAAAUUAAACCUGGGCCAAUUGUAAUAGAACUAUACAAGAAACCCACUGACUUUAAAAGAAAGAAAUUGCAAUUAUUGACCAAGAAACCACUUUAUCUUCAUCUACAUCAAACUUUGCACAAGGAAUGAUCCUGACAUGAUGAACCUGGAACUUCUGUGAAUUUUACCACUCAGUAGAAACCAUCAUAGCUCUGUGUAGCAUAUUCACCCUUCAACAGGCAGGAAGCAAGCCGUACCCAGACCAGUAGGCCGGACGGAGUCCAAUGCAAAGCUGUACCACAGAAUUCAGAGUCCAGCACAUCACACUGACGUAUAGGACUCCUUGGGAUACAGGUUUAUUGUAGAUUUUGAAACAUGUUUUUACUUUUCUAUUAAUUGUGCAAUUAAUAGUCUAUUUUCUAAUUUACCACUACUCCUACCCUGCUUCCUGGAACAAUACUGUUGUGGGUAGGAUGUGCUCAUCUUCAGACUUAAUACAGCAAUAAGAAUGUGCUAGAGUUUACACAUCUGUUCACUUUUGCUCCAAUAUGCUCUUUUGACUUAACGUCAAGCUUUGGGUUGAUGUGGGUAGGGUAGUGUCAAACUGCUUUGAGAGGAAUGGGACCAGUUCUGCUGCCUAAGAAGGUCUGUCUGGAUGUUUAUAGGCAGCACCUCUGAAGUGGCCUAAAUUCACCCUGAUCUGAUAGUUUUCCUGCUUAGAAAGUGUGCCUUGGCCAGAUCAGUAUCCCACAUGGGAGUGUUCCCUAGGUUGUAGCUGUGAUUGUUUCCAGAUGACCAGAUUGUUUUUCUGAAAAUGAGCAUAUUUUUAGUCAUGUCGAUUAGCUGUUCUUCUACAUCACAUUGUUACUCUUUCUGAUGAUGAUUCUAGGGUUAACAUUGGAACCAUCUCAAAAUAAUUACAAAGUUUUAGAUGGGUUUACAAUGUCUUCUAAACAAUGUAAUCUAAAAAUAAUUGAGUCAGAUGCUAACGAGAUACUGCAGGCAUAACUGCUGUUUUUCUGACAACUGAUUGUGAAACCUUAAAACCUGCAUACCUCUUCUUACAGUGAGGAGUAUGCAAAAUCUGGAAAGAUAUUCUAUUUUUUUUAUAUAGGUAGAUAGGAUCGCCAUUUAUUUCCUAUUUAGAUAUACUGACAUUCAUCCAUAUGAAAAUAUGCAGGUCAUUAGCUUACUAUAAUUUACUUUUGACUUAAUGGGGCAUAAAUAAAACUUUCAUAGUACACAUGAGGUGGAUAUUUGAUACACAGAACAUUUGCGGUGGGCUUUCUGUGGGUUAGAUGUAAAGCCCACAUAUUUUAAUAUUCACUAUUUUAAAUGAGCAAUGCAUGAGGGGAAUGCAGUGUCAGUACCUGGCCUAUUUUUAAACUAGUGUAAUCACCCUAGUCAUACCAUUCAGUAUGUUUGCUUUUUAAAAUAAGUAACCACAACUAAGUUGUUGUAGCCCUUGCACUUCAAGAGAUCUAGUCUUUACUUUCAGUUGUCUGUUAGGUCCAUUCUGUUUACUAGACGGAUGUUAAUAAAAACUAUGCGAGCCUGAAUGAAUUCUCA
This 1573-nucleotide long non-coding RNA is filed under the name Homo sapiens (human). RNAcentral's name for it is "HSALNT0022559". Lineage: Eukaryota; Metazoa; Chordata; Mammalia; Primates; Hominidae. The record is from RNAcentral.